GCCGUCAUAGCUCAGUUGGUAGAGCGCAUCCAUGGUAAGGAUGAGGUCUCGGGUUCGAUUCCCGAUGUCGGCUCAA
This 76-nucleotide transfer RNA is filed under the name Candidatus Magasanikiibacteriota bacterium. Its description in RNAcentral is "tRNA-Thr". It matches the Rfam family "tRNA". Rfam says of the family: Transfer RNA (tRNA) molecules are approximately 80 nucleotides in length. Their secondary structure includes four short double-helical elements and three loops (D, anti-codon, and T loops). Lineage: Bacteria; Candidatus Magasanikiibacteriota. The record is from RNAcentral.